This 467-nucleotide ribosomal RNA is filed under the name uncultured bacterium. RNAcentral describes it as "bacterial SSU rRNA". It matches the Rfam family "Bacterial small subunit ribosomal RNA", at positions 28 to 507 of the family's 1533-position model. The record is from RNAcentral.
GACGAACGCUGGGCGGCGUGCUUAACACAUGCAAGUCGAACGGUGAACCAGAGCUUGCUCUGGGGAUCAGUGGCGAACGGGUGAGUAACACGUGGGCAACCUGCCCCAGACUCUGGGAUAACCUCGGGAAACCGAUGCUAAUACCGGAUACGACCACUUCGGACAUCCGACGGUGGUGGAAAGUUUUUCGGUCUGGGAUGGGCCCGCGGCCUAUCAGCUAGUUGGUGGGGUAAUGGCCUACCAAGGCGACGACGGGUAGCCGGCCUGAGAGGGCGACCGGCCACACUGGAACUGAGACACGGUCCAGACUCCUACGGGAGGCAGCAGUGGGGAAUAUUGCACAAUGGGCGAAAGCCUGAUGCAGCGACGCCGCGUGAGGGACGACGGCCUUCGGGUUGUAAACCUCUUUCAGCAGGGACGAAGCGAAAGUGACUGUACCUGCAGAAGAAGCACCGGCUAACUACGUG